UUCUGGUUGAUCCUGCCAGAGGCGACCGCUAUUGGAGUUCGAUUAAGCCAUGCGAGUCGAGAGUCUUAGGGACUCGGCAUACUGCUCAGUAACACGUGGAUAACCUGCCCUGUGCUGGAGGAUAACCUCGGGAAACUGAGAAUAAUACUCCAUAGACCACUAUGCCUGGAAUGGUUUGUGGUUCAAAGCUCCGGCGGCACAGGAUGGGUCUGCGGCGUAUCAGGUUGUAGGGGGUGUAAAGGACCCUCUAGCCAUUGACGCGUACGGGUUGUGGGAGCAAUCGCCCGGAGAUGGAUUCUGAGACACGAAUCCAGACCCUACGGGGUGCAGCAGGCGCGGAAACUUCACACUGCGGGAAACCGUGAUGAGGGAACUCCAAGUGUUUGCACUAUGUGCAAUCUUUUCUUGACUUUUAAUAGGUCUUGGUAAUAAGGGGUGGGAAAGACCGGUGCCAGCCGCCGCGGUAAUACCGGCACCCUAAGUGG
This 485-nucleotide ribosomal RNA is filed under the name uncultured Candidatus Poseidoniales archaeon. Its description in RNAcentral is "bacterial SSU rRNA". It matches the Rfam family "Archaeal small subunit ribosomal RNA", at positions 1 to 491 of the family's 1478-position model. The record is from RNAcentral. Lineage: Archaea; Methanobacteriati; Thermoplasmatota; Candidatus Poseidoniia; Candidatus Poseidoniales.